Molecule: ribosomal RNA, 202 nt
Filed under: uncultured bacterium
Lineage: Bacteria
Description: partial 16S ribosomal RNA
Rfam family: Bacterial small subunit ribosomal RNA
Source: RNAcentral
GCAGCCUGCAACUCGGCUGCAUGAAGUUGGAAUCGCUAGUAAUCGCGGAUCAGAAUGCCGCGGUGAAUACGUUCCCGGGUCUUGUACACACCGCCCGUCACACCAUGGGAGUCGGAAAUGCCCGAAGUCUGUGACCCAACCAUUAAGGAGGGAGCAGCCGAAGGCAGGUCGGAUGACUGGGGUGAAGUCGUAACAAGGUACC